RNAcentral lists this non-coding RNA (100 nucleotides) under Drosophila simulans. Lineage: Eukaryota; Metazoa; Arthropoda; Insecta; Diptera; Drosophilidae. The record is from Rfam by way of RNAcentral.
AAUGAAAGUAUCAACGUGAAUUUCCUACACCAAAAAGUCAAGGUAAACCGCUGAACCACUUUCAUGCUUGGGAAUGUGAACUGAAACUGUUCACAUCAAC